AGAGAUAAGUGCUGAAAGCAUCUAAGCACGAAACUUGCCCCGAGAUGAGUUCUCCCUGACUCCUUGAGAGUCCUGAAGGAACGUUGAAGACGACGACGUUGAUAGGCCGGGUGUGUAAGCGCAGCGAUGCGUUGAGCUAACCGGUACUAAUGAACCGUGAGGCUUAACCUUACAACGCCGAAGCUGUUUUGGCGGAUGAGAGAAGAUUUUCAGCCUGAUACAGAUUAAAUCAGAACGCAGAAGCGGUCUGAUAAAACAGAAUUUGCCUGGCGGCCGUAGCGCGGUGGUCCCACCUGACCCCAUGCCGAACUCAGAAGUGAAACGCCGUAGCGCCGAUGGUAGUGUGGGGUCUCCCCAUG
RNAcentral lists this ribosomal RNA (359 nucleotides) under Escherichia coli 2866450. Lineage: Bacteria; Pseudomonadati; Pseudomonadota; Gammaproteobacteria; Enterobacterales; Enterobacteriaceae. The record is from RNAcentral.